Molecule: transfer RNA, 74 nt
Filed under: Nipponia nippon (crested ibis)
Lineage: Eukaryota; Metazoa; Chordata; Aves; Pelecaniformes; Threskiornithidae
Rfam family: tRNA
About the family: Transfer RNA (tRNA) molecules are approximately 80 nucleotides in length. Their secondary structure includes four short double-helical elements and three loops (D, anti-codon, and T loops). Further hydrogen bonds mediate the characteristic L-shaped molecular structure. tRNAs have two regions of fundamental functional importance: the anti-codon, which is responsible for specific mRNA codon recognition, and the 3' end, to which the tRNAs corresponding amino acid is attached (by aminoacyl-tRNA synthetases). tRNAs cope with the degeneracy of the genetic code in two manners: having more than one tRNA (with a specific anti-codon) for a particular amino acid; and 'wobble' base-pairing, i.e. permitting non-standard base-pairing at the 3rd anti-codon position.
Source: Rfam by way of RNAcentral
GGCCUUGUAGCUCAGUGGUUAGAGCACUGGUCUUGUAAACUAGAAGUUUUUGAGUUCAAACCUCACCUGAGCCU